GGUGGAAUCUUCCGCAAUGGGCGAAAGCCUGACGGAGCCAGACCGCGUGAGGGAAGAAGGUUCUUGGAUUGUAAACCUCUUUUCUCAGGGAAGAAAAAAAUGACGGUACCUGAGGAAUCAGCAUCGGCUAACUCCGUGCCAGCAGCCGCGGUAAGACGGAGGAUGCAAGCGUUAUCCGGAAUUAUUGGGCGUAAAGCGUCCGCAGGUGGCAAUUAAAGUCCGCUGUCAAAGACCGAAGCUCAACUUCGGAAAGGCAGUGGAAACUAAAUAGCUAGAGUAUGGUAGGGGUAGAGGGAAUUCCCAGUGUAGCGGUGAAAUGCGUAGAGAUUGGGAAGAACACCGGUGGCGAAGGCGCUCUACUGGACCAAAACUGACACUCAGAGGACGAAAGCUAGGGUAGCGAAAGGGAUUAGAUACCCCUGUAGUCUUAGCUGUAAACGAUGGAUACUAGGCGUUGCUCGUAUCGACCCGAGCAGUGCCGAAGCUAACGCGUUAAGUAU
This 500-nucleotide ribosomal RNA is filed under the name uncultured cyanobacterium. RNAcentral describes it as "bacterial SSU rRNA". It matches the Rfam family "Bacterial small subunit ribosomal RNA", at positions 355 to 867 of the family's 1533-position model. The record is from RNAcentral. Lineage: Bacteria; Bacillati; Cyanobacteriota.